ACUCCUACGGGAGGCAGCAGUGGGGAAUAUUGCACAAUGGACGAAAGUCUGAUGCAGCAACGCCGCGUGGAGGAUGACACAUUUCGGUGCGUAAACUCCUUUUAUAUGAGAAGAUAAUGACGGUAUUAUAUGAAUAAGCACCGGCUAACUCCGUGCCAGCAGCCGCGGUAAUAC
This 174-nucleotide ribosomal RNA is filed under the name uncultured bacterium. RNAcentral describes it as "partial 16S ribosomal RNA". It matches the Rfam family "Bacterial small subunit ribosomal RNA", at positions 335 to 526 of the family's 1533-position model. The record is from RNAcentral.